Molecule: ribosomal RNA, 1917 nt
Filed under: Salmonella enterica subsp. enterica serovar Virchow
Lineage: Bacteria; Pseudomonadati; Pseudomonadota; Gammaproteobacteria; Enterobacterales; Enterobacteriaceae
Description: partial 23S ribosomal RNA
Rfam family: Bacterial large subunit ribosomal RNA
Source: RNAcentral
GAAGCGUCUGGAAAGGCGCGCGAUACAGGGUGACAGCCCCGUACACAAAAGCGCAUGUGCUGUGAGCUCGAUGAGUAGGGCGGGACACGUGGUAUCCUGUCUGAAUAUGGGGGGACCAUCCUCCAAGGCUAAAUACUCCUGACUGACCGAUAGUGAACCAGUACCGUGAGGGAAAGGCGAAAAGAACCCCGGCGAGGGGAGUGAAAAAGAACCUGAAACCGUGUACGUACAAGCAGUGGGAGCACCCUUUGGGGUGUGACUGCGUACCUUUUGUAUAAUGGGUCAGCGACUUAUAUUCUGUAGCAAGGUUAACCGUAUAGGGGAGCCGUAGGGAAACCGAGUCUUAACCGGGCGUUAAGUUGCAGGGUAUAGACCCGAAACCCGGUGAUCUAGCCAUGGGCAGGUUGAAGGUUGGGUAACACUAACUGGAGGACCGAACCGACUAAUGUUGAAAAAUUAGCGGAUGACCUGUGGCUGGGGGUGAAAGGCCAAUCAAACCGGGAGAUAGCUGGUUCUCCCCGAAAGCUAUUUAGGUAGCGCCUCGUGAAUUCAUCUCCGGGGGUAGAGCACUGUUUCGGCUAGGGGGCCAUCCCGGCUUACCAACCCGAUGCAAACUGCGAAUACCGGAGAAUGUUAUCACGGGAGACACACGGCGGGUGCUAACGUCCGUCGUGAAGAGGGAAACAACCCAGACCGCCAGCUAAGGUCCCAAAGUCAUGGUUAAGUGGGAAACGAUGUGGGAAGGCCCAGACAGCCAGGAUGUUGGCUUAGAAGCAGCCAUCAUUUAAAGAAAGCGUAAUAGCUCACUGGUCGAGUCGGCCUGCGCGGAAGAUGUAACGGGGCUAAACCAUGCACCGAAGCUGCGGCAGCGACGCUGAUGCGUUGUUGGGUAGGGGAGCGUUCUGUAAGCCUGUGAAGGUGGCCUGUGAGGGUUGCUGGAGGUAUCAGAAGUGCGAAUGCUGACAUAAGUAACGAUAAAGCGGGUGAAAAGCCCGCUCGCCGGAAGACCAAGGGUUCCUGUCCAACGUUAAUCGGGGCAGGGUGAGUCGACCCCUAAGGCGAGGCCGAAAGGCGUAGUCGAUGGGAAACGGGUUAAUAUUCCCGUACUUGGUGUUACUGCGAAGGGGGGACGGAGAAGGCUAUGUUGGCCGGGCGACGGUUGUCCCGGUUUAAGCGUGUAGGUGUGUGUUCCAGGUAAAUCCGGUUCACUUUAACACUGAGGCGUGACGACGAGGCACUACGGUGCUGAAGCAACAAAUGCCCUGCUUCCAGGAAAAGCCUCUAAGCAUCAGGUAACAUCAAAUCGUACCCCAAACCGACACAGGUGGUCAGGUAGAGAAUACCAAGGCGCUUGAGAGAACUCGGGUGAAGGAACUAGGCAAAAUGGUGCCGUAACUUCGGGAGAAGGCACGCUGACACGUAGGUGAAGUGAUUUACUCAUGGAGCUGAAGUCAGUCGAAGAUACCAGCUGGCUGCAACUGUUUAUUAAAAACACAGCACUGUGCAAACACGAAAGUGGACGUAUACGGUGUGACGCCUGCCCGGUGCCGGAAGGUUAAUUGAUGGGGUCAGCGCAAGCGAAGCUCCUGAUCGAAGCCCCGGUAAACGGCGGCCGUAACUAUAACGGUCCUAAGGUAGCGAAAUUCCUUGUCGGGUAAGUUCCGACCUGCACGAAUGGCGUAAUGAUGGCCAGGCUGUCUCCACCCGAGACUCAGUGAAAUUGAACUCGCUGUGAAGAUGCAGUGUACCCGCGGCAAGACGGAAAGACCCCGUGAACCUUUACUAUAGCUUGACACUGAACAUUGAGCCUUGAUGUGUAGGAUAGGUGGGAGGCUUUGAAGUGUGGACGCCAGUCUGCAUGGAGCCGACCUUGAAAUACCACCCUUUAAUGUUUGAUGUUCUAACGUGGACCCGUUA